GGGCAUGCAACAGUAUCCGACAAACCACCCAACUUAGAAUAAAGCUAACACAAAAUAUAAUACAUAUAUUACAAGUUACGACGUCAAAGGCACAUAAUGGACUUGGAAGGCUAGUAUUACUUACCAACACAGCAAUUACAAGAUGGAAUCUCUCCCUUAACAGCUGCAUUGCGUAAUUUCAAUCAAUAGUGUUCACUACAUUCAUACUCUACUUAAAUAAAUAACCACACACUAAAAACACAUGUUGAUUCAUUAUAUUAAUCAAAAGCAUAACGGAAUCAAACAUUUAUCAACUUAUCACUCCUUUUAUCAAUGGGCACUAAAAACACUGAAUGCAUGUGAUUGUAAGUAAUUAAUUAAUUUGAAAAUCACCAAACAAUUCAAUGUCCCACUCUUAUCAAUCAACAGGUUGAAAUGAAGCAGAUGCUUCUACCAUGUGCUGUCUGAAUUUAGAUUUAUAUAAAACAACUCAUUAAGAAUUGCACUCAAUCAUAAUUAUGUCAGAUGCAGAUAACUAUCUCUACAUGCCAACAUAAAGGACAAAACAUGUAAAACUAAAAACAGACAUAAUAGUUGAAUACCAAUGUAUAUAUAUUUUUAUUUCUUUUUACUAACUUUUUCAUUUCUCUAUAUACUCCUUUCCGAACAAGUAUCAAACACAAGUGCUUCUCUUCGAUGCAUUUAAAGGUUGACAAAGGAAGCUACUAACCUCCUACAGCAUUUUACAUGUGCAUUUAAAGGUGGGAAGCACUAGAUCUUCUAAAUUCUCAAAGCACCGACCUGUAAAAGCGUUGAGUUUUUUAAGGCAUCUUGUUUACAUAUGCAGUAAUGAGAGGAAAGAAACCAAUGAAAAAGUUCCAGACAAAAAGAAGAUUAAUUUUUAAAGUUCAAACCCUUCACAAUGCUUUCAGACAUUGACGGAUAAACAGAUGAAUAGCCAAAACCUUAAUAACAUAACCAUUGCAGUUGCAUGCAAACGGAUUCCUACGAAAACAUGAAAUCUAAGGAGAAAUAUAAUUAUAUAAAAAGGUAAAAAGCCUAGGAGAAUAAUAUGAUAUUUGAUGGAAAUAUAGUGCAAACUCACUUCAUAAAUCAUCUAACUUGCAAAAUCUUUCAUAUCUAAAGGAAUCUUCAUCAUCUGACAAUAAACAACUUAAGUCGUUAGAUAUCUUCAAUUCGUAAUCAAUAAGAAAUCUGGAAUUUCUUUCCCUUCAUUGUAAAUGUAAAAGGAAUUUGCAUAUUUCUGGAUACUUCAGCUUGAGUCAUAUGUACGGACAAUGUAGCAAGGAUCAACCAUGUCAAUGCAAGUUCUCGACAGACACAGAAAUAAAAAUAGAGAAGUGGAUACAGUCAUGUGUGGUAGAUGUUUAGUUGUCUGAUAAAGUGAAGUGCUUCAAACAACAACGCGACUGUCUUUUUCGGUGCACACAUGGUUUUAAGAGGCGGCAUUUUAGAUUAGCAUAAAACAAAAUACAAGUAAUAUGGAAGGAAAUAAGGAUAAUGGUAAUCUACAUGAUGAAAUCCACUUAUUACAAUAAUAUAUCUAAAAGGGGACAACAUGCCAACGGGCCGAAAGUAAGAGCCAAACAAACAAUUAAAUACAGGGUUUAUCUUAUUUUAAUCCGUAUCAGUCAACAAUUAUACACAAGCCAAAGAGAUAGGUUACAAAAUCUUGCACAACUCUAGGGAAAAAAGGAAAAAGUAUGGCUUGAAGCUAAACAGACAAAUCCGUCGCAAGUUAUACACUUUAAUACCAAGAACAAAACCGACAUAUGCUGAUAGAAUAUUGAGUAAAUGUCCAGUUAAUUGCAAAACGUAUUAUAAGUACGACACAUAUAUUACAUUGAGGUCUAAAUUUGGGUAAGGAACAUUUCUAAUACUAGGAUAACAAAAGAAGCAAGUACAUCAAACAUUCAUGAAUGCAUGCAACUGCAGGCUUGUCCACAUUGCAAAAAUGCUAUAGCGAUGAAUUGGACCAACAUCCGACUAAUCAUGAAUUCCACGUUUGCUUCUGUUUCAUUACUAAUCAUAAAACUAAACUAGUAGGAUUAAAGAAAUUUACCACUCAAGCAUUGCACCAGCAAAUUAAGUAGUGUGUGGAUAUUCAUGGCACUGUCUU
RNAcentral lists this long non-coding RNA (2119 nucleotides) under Gossypium barbadense (sea-island cotton). RNAcentral's name for it is "long non-coding RNA (GBAR_LNC006178)". Lineage: Eukaryota; Viridiplantae; Streptophyta; Magnoliopsida; Malvales; Malvaceae. The record is from RNAcentral.